CAAAACCAUAGUGAAAGACGGAAUACAAGUAAGCAUUUGGUGGCUAUUGUCGUUGACAACGACUCCAUCACUCACCCUAACAAACCCUAAUCUUUUUUCUUCUAAUCACUAUUCGAUUUCACAUUAGCUGUUUUGAUCACUGUAGCUUUGAUUUGAGCAAAAAUUUCUACCAUUCAUGAUGUUUGUUGUUUUGGAUUGACUGAAAAUCAAACCCUACCGUCUUCGAUUCAGGAAAAGAUUCAAUUUUGUUUGCCCUAAUUUUGAAAUCCCAUGACGGCCGAUGCAUCUACUGCUACCAUUACCCAUUCCGGCGAAGACGGCGGCGGUGGUCUUAAUAGCCCUUCCGGCCCUAGAACUUUACCUUCUGCCUGGGCGCAAGUUGUACGCGGAGGAAGCGAGCCGGAUUCGGUAUCUUCGUCUCCUUCGCCGGGGGUUGCUGAAAGUAAUCCUGUUUUAUCUGAUCCGGUAACGGUGGUGGAGGCCGUGACUACGGCGGCGGAGACUCAACAGGAGGGGUCUGAUGGUAGUAAUAAUUGCAAUGCUGGUGGUGUAAAGAAGUCGGCUUGGAACAAGCCCUCGGCAAAUGGUGUUGUGGAUGGGACUACUACACCUGUGAUGGGUGCUGCUUCUUGGCCCGCUCUAUCUGAGUCGACUCGUCCCGGAGUGAAAUCGUUAUCUUCUUCUUCAGAGUCUUCUUCUAAGCCGAUCUCCGAUGGAUCAGUCGCCGUUUCUCAGGCACCUGCAGUUUUACAACCACCCCAAAAACAUGUUAGAACUAAUGCAAACUCUCAUUCUAAUCCAAACCAUAUGAAUCCUGUUCGACAGCGGCAUAUGAGACGUGGUGGAAGUGCUGGUGGUGCGUCCACAGGCUACAGUAGGCCGCCCCCUCCACCACCAUUGCCGCCGCCGUUCCCUUUAUUUGACAUGUCUUAUGGUAAUUUAGUACCAGCAGUUUUAGACUCCCCUGUGAGAGAACCUCCCCAUUUUAAGAGCAAUAGCUGGUCACCAAGAAAUCCCACCUUGAGGAAUAAUUAUGGUCCUCGGCCACGUAGUGAUGGAGGAUCCUAUGUUAACAAUGGUUAUGGUGGCAAUCGUGAUCAUAACCAUGAUCGAGAUUGGCGCAGCCCUCGAAAUCCUGCUGCUAGAGAUGUGCAUCAAAUGGUUCCUCCACCUCCCCCACCGAUUAGGGGAUUCAUUCGACCACCUCAUCCGGGUCCUGCCCCAUUUAUUCCUCCUCAGCCUUUAAGACCAUAUGGAACCCCUAUGGGUUAUGAAAUGGGUGCAUCAUAUAUAUAUGUUCCUACACUACCUCCGGAGCCAUAUAGGGGUGCACCUCUUCUUCCUCAUGCACCUUCGUCCUCCAUGUUUGUCCCUCUUAUGGAUCCUCCUUUGCAUGUUUUGAUACUUAACCAGAUUGAUUAUUAUUUCAGUGAUGCUAAUUUGGUCAAAGAUAACUUUUUGAGGUCACAGAUGGAUGAGGAAGGCUGGGUACCUAUUGCGUUAAUAGCUGGUUUUCGUCGAGUUCAAAGUUUGACAAAUGACAUCCAAAUGAUUUUGAAUUCCUUGAGAGAUUCGGCUACUGUUGAAAUUCAGGGUGAGAAGGUAAGGAGGCGUAGUGAAUGGAGAAGAUGGAUACAAUCUUCCAACAGCUUGCAAGCGGACACAGAAGCUCCACAUGAAGCAAGUGUUGAAGAAGCUUCAGUACAGAAGCUGAGUUUGGAUGACAAAGAAGUGGGAGCAUCAGAUCCACUGAAGCUAACCAAUGGGGAGGUGAGUUCUGAAGAUCUUUGUUCAUGAAGUCAAACCACGGUCAAGAUAUUUGACUGUGCCAAGAUUUUGCAGUAAAUAGCAUUUAACUAUAGUUUUGGUGUUGCGGUGAUUGACCAUUGCUGGAGUGGAGGGUAGUAGGAGCAGAGUUUUUGAGAGUCUUGCGGUUGACAGAAGAAGAUGAUUAACCAUUGUUUGAUGCUCUAAAUUUUUAUUCGCUUGGAUUUUAUUCUACCUUUAUCCCUCAUCCGGUAAAGGGUACCCACACAUUUAUCAUACAUUGAUUUGCUUGACUA
Molecule: RNA transcript, 2063 nt
Organism: Cynara cardunculus var. scolymus (artichoke)
Lineage: Eukaryota; Viridiplantae; Streptophyta; Magnoliopsida; Asterales; Asteraceae
Gene name: la-related protein 1C-like
Exons: 7
Source: RefSeq, a predicted model, not a curated record